This 301-nucleotide ribosomal RNA is filed under the name uncultured bacterium. Its description in RNAcentral is "partial 16S ribosomal RNA". It matches the Rfam family "Bacterial small subunit ribosomal RNA", at positions 509 to 807 of the family's 1533-position model. The record is from RNAcentral.
CAGUCGCCGCGGGAAUACAGAGGGUGCGAGCGUUAAUCGGAUUUACUGGGCGUAAAGCGUGCGUAGGCGGCUUCUUAAGUCGGAUGUGAAAUCCCUGAGCUUAACUUGGGAAUUGCAUUCGAUACUGGUUAGCUAGAGUGUGGGAGAGGAUGGUAGAAUUCCAGGUGUAGCGGUGAAAUGCGUAGAGAUCUGGAGGAAUACCGAUGGCGAAGGCAGCCAUCUGGCCUAACACUGACGCUGAGGUACGAAAGCAUGGGGAGCAAACAGGAUUAGAUACCCGGGUAGUCCCUGUCUCUUAUAC